Molecule: unclassified non-coding RNA, 443 nt
Filed under: Hevea brasiliensis (rubber tree)
Lineage: Eukaryota; Viridiplantae; Streptophyta; Magnoliopsida; Malpighiales; Euphorbiaceae
Source: RNAcentral
AAAAAAAAAAAAAAAAAAUUCCUAUAGUUGAUACCAACUAGUUUGAGUUUUAGGCUUACUUGUCGUUGUCAUUGUAUCGUAGUUAAGCUUGAAUUGUUGUGCAAAACUAUUCAAGCAAUUUGAAUUUUAAUUCUUGUGUAGGUCAAUUUGUGAUUAUUGUUGGAAUUAUUGUCAAGAAAAACAAUUCCUUAAAUAUGUUUUGUCUUUGCAUUUAUUUGAAUUUACUGAAAAUUUAUUAGUAAUGUAUAAGAUUAUGAAUGAUAACAUUUGCUAGAGAAUGAAUGUAGCACAUAUAGGAAAUAAAUUGAGAGAGGUUCAUUUAAGAUGAUUUGAUUACGGACAACGUAGAGAAUCAAAUGUUGUGAUAAGUUAGUAGGGGAAGGAAUGAGAAGGAAAGGGAAUGGAAAGGUCUAAAGAUGAUGUGGAGGAGAAUAGUAUCACAU